RNAcentral lists this ribosomal RNA (465 nucleotides) under uncultured bacterium. RNAcentral's name for it is "partial 16S ribosomal RNA". It matches the Rfam family "Bacterial small subunit ribosomal RNA", at positions 28 to 507 of the family's 1533-position model. The record is from RNAcentral.
GACGAACGCUGGCGGCGUGCUUAACACAUGCAAGUCGAACGGAAAGGCCCCUCUUGGGGUACUUGCGUGGCGAACGGGCGGGUAACACGCAAGUAACUUGCCCUUCCCUUCGGGAUAACUAACGGCAACUGGCGCGAAUACCGGCCAGGAAUCCUUUCCGCCUGGAGGGGGGUGGUAAGAUUCGGCGGUUUGGGGUGGAUUCGCGGCUUAUCUGUUUGUUGGUGGGGUAGUGGGUUGCCUAGGAUUUGAUGGGUAGCCGGCCUGGGAGGGGGGCCGGCCACAAUGGGGCUUGGAUUAGGGCCAGACCCCUACGGGAGGCAAGAGUGGGGGAUAUUGCACAAUGGGCGGGAGCCUGAUGCAGCAACGCCGCGGGCGGGAUGACCGGCUUCGGGUUGGAAACCGCUUUCAGCAGGGGCGAAACUUGUGGUGACGGUACCUGCAGAAGAAGCACCGGCUAACUACGUG